ACUCCUACGGGAGGCAGCAGUGGGGGAAUAUUGGACAAUGGGCGCAAGCCUGAUCCAGCCAUGCCGCGUGGUGUGAAGAAGGCCUUUUGGGUUGUAAAGCACUUUAAGCGAGGAGGAGGCUCCUUUAGUUAAUACCUAAAGUGAGUGGACGUUACUCGCAGAAUAAGCACCGGCUAACUCUGUGCCAGCAGCCGCGGUAAUACAGAGGGUGCGAGCGUUAAUCGGAUUUACUGGGCGUAAAGCGUGCGUAGGCGGCUUUUUAAGUCGGAUGUG
This 273-nucleotide ribosomal RNA is filed under the name uncultured bacterium. RNAcentral describes it as "partial 16S ribosomal RNA". It matches the Rfam family "Bacterial small subunit ribosomal RNA", at positions 335 to 596 of the family's 1533-position model. The record is from RNAcentral.